RNAcentral lists this transfer RNA (67 nucleotides) under Sepioteuthis lessoniana. RNAcentral describes it as "tRNA-Asn". It matches the Rfam family "tRNA". From Rfam's summary of the family: Transfer RNA (tRNA) molecules are approximately 80 nucleotides in length. Their secondary structure includes four short double-helical elements and three loops (D, anti-codon, and T loops). Lineage: Eukaryota; Metazoa; Mollusca; Cephalopoda; Myopsida; Loliginidae. The record is from RNAcentral.
UUACAGUGAAAAGCCAAACUAGAGGCAUUUAACUGUUAAUUAAAAGACUGUAAUCAAUUACUUCACU